Molecule: ribosomal RNA, 812 nt
Filed under: Streptomyces sp.
Lineage: Bacteria; Bacillati; Actinomycetota; Actinomycetes; Kitasatosporales; Streptomycetaceae
Description: bacterial SSU rRNA
Rfam family: Bacterial small subunit ribosomal RNA
Source: RNAcentral
UUAGUGGCGAACGGGUGAGUAACACGUGGGCAAUCUGCCCUUCACUCUGGGACAAGCCCUGGAAACGGGGUCUAAUACCGGAUAAUACUCUGUUCCGCAUGGGACGGGGUUGAAAGCUCCGGCGGUGAAGGAUGAGCCCGCGGCCUAUCAGCUUGUUGGUGGGGUAAUGGCCUACCAAGGCGACGACGGGUAGCCGGCCUGAGAGGGCGACCGGCCACACUGGGACUGAGACACGGCCCAGACUCCUACGGGAGGCAGCAGUGGGGAAUAUUGCACAAUGGGCGAAAGCCUGAUGCAGCGACGCCGCGUGAGGGAUGACGGCCUUCGGGUUGUAAACCUCUUUCAGCAGGGAAGAAGCGCAAGUGACGGUACCUGCAGAAGAAGCGCCGGCUAACUACGUGCCAGCAGCCGCGGUAAUACGUAGGGCGCAAGCGUUGUCCGGAAUUAUUGGGCGUAAAGAGCUCGUAGGCGGCUUGUCACGUCGGAUGUGAAAGCCCGGGGCUUAACCCCGGGUCUGCAUUCGAUACGGGCUAGCUAGAGUGUGGUAGGGGAGAUCGGAAUUCCUGGUGUAGCGGUGAAAUGCGCAGAUAUCAGGAGGAACACCGGUGGCGAAGGCGGAUCUCUGGGCCAUUACUGACGCUGAGGAGCGAAAGCGUGGGGAGCGAACAGGAUUAGAUACCCUGGUAGUCCACGCCGUAAACGUUGGGAACUAGGUGUUGGCGACAUUCCACGUCGUCGGUGCCGCAGCUAACGCAUUAAGUUCCCCGCCUGGGGAGUACGGCCGCAAGGCUAAAACUCAAAGGAAUUGACGG